This is a non-coding RNA of Setaria italica (foxtail millet), 47 nucleotides long. Lineage: Eukaryota; Viridiplantae; Streptophyta; Magnoliopsida; Poales; Poaceae. The record is from Rfam.
AUCAUGGAUUCUUUAGAAUCCAUUGUAUAUUCAAAUUAAUGUUUACU